RNAcentral lists this ribosomal RNA (428 nucleotides) under uncultured bacterium. Its description in RNAcentral is "bacterial SSU rRNA". It matches the Rfam family "Bacterial small subunit ribosomal RNA", at positions 355 to 776 of the family's 1533-position model. The record is from RNAcentral.
CUAAGAAUAUUCCGCAAUGGACGAAAGUCUGACGGAGCGACGCCGCGUGGAUGAAGAAGGCCGAAAGGUUGUAAAAUCCUUUUGCUGGGGAAGAAUAAGCGUGGCAGGAAAUGGCCGCGUGAUGACAUGAACCGGUGAAUAAGCCCCGGCUAACUACGUGCCAGCAGCCGCGGUAACACGUAGGGGGCAAGCGUUGUUCGGAAUUAUUGGGCGUAAAGGGCAUGUAGGCGGUCUUGUAAGUCUGGCGUGAAAUGGUAAGGCUCAACCUUAUCCUGCGUCGGAAACUGCGAGACUAGAAUCACUGAGGGGGAAUCAGAAUUCCAGGUGUAGGGGUGAAAUCUGUAGAUAUCUGGAAGAAUACCGGUGGCGAAGGCGGAUUCCUGGCAGAUGAUUGACGCUGAGGUGCGAAAGCGUGGGGAGCAAACAGG